RNAcentral lists this unclassified non-coding RNA (590 nucleotides) under uncultured bacterium. Its description in RNAcentral is "16S-23S intergenic spacer". The stretch from base 282 to 355 matches the Rfam family "tRNA". The record is from RNAcentral.
UCUAAGAGAGAACGUGGGUGGAGUCAGCGACAAAAGUACACGCUGGCAGCCGUUCCACUCCAAACCGCAGUCACAAGAUUGCGGAAUACGAUCCGGAUCUCCACUUAGAGUUCUGUGGUUUUGAUAUCGUGGUCGCGAGGCUGGUCUUCGCGGUCCUUGCGUCCAAUCGGCCUCGAAAAUAAAAUGACUUCGGGGGCUGUAGCCCAGCUGGGAGAGCGCCUGAUUUGCACUCAGGAGGUCGCCGGUUCGAUCCCGACCAGCUCCACCAGUUUCGCCUCCACGGGCCUGUAGCUCAGGUGGCUAGAGCGCACCCCUGAUAAGGGUGAGGUCGGUAGUUCAACUCUACCCAGGCCCACCAAGUUCGAGCCGUUGGCGGCUCGGUGGCAUGCCGAACGGGUAGUGGCCGUGGCCAGGCAUCGGAGUGGAUUUAGGGUUUAGGAUUUAGGAUUUGGUUCACCGCCAAGUCCCAAAUCCUAAAUCCCAAAUCCUGGGGUUUCAUGUUCUUUGACAAUARAAUAUUGACGGGCAUUUACUACAAGUAGAUGCAAAGCGCAAAAGAAUUUACAUUUUGUGUUCAGAGUAGAUUUUAU